Molecule: ribosomal RNA, 901 nt
Filed under: Massilia sp. M1Ju8
Lineage: Bacteria; Pseudomonadati; Pseudomonadota; Betaproteobacteria; Burkholderiales; Oxalobacteraceae
Description: bacterial SSU rRNA
Rfam family: Bacterial small subunit ribosomal RNA
Source: RNAcentral
UUACUGGGCGUAAAGCGUGCGCAGGCGGUUUGUAAGUCUGUCGUGAAAGCCCCGGGCUCAACCUGGGAAUUGCGAUGGAGACUGCAAGGCUUGAAUCUGGCAGAGGGGGGUAGAAUUCCACGUGUAGCAGUGAAAUGCGUAGAGAUGUGGAGGAACACCGAUGGCGAAGGCAGCCCCCUGGGUCAAGAUUGACGCUCAUGCACGAAAGCGUGGGGAGCAAACAGGAUUAGAUACCCUGGUAGUCCACGCCCUAAACGAUGUCUACUAGUUGUCGGGUUUUAAUUAACUUGGUAACGCAGCUAACGCGUGAAGUAGACCGCCUGGGGAGUACGGUCGCAAGAUUAAAACUCAAAGGAAUUGACGGGGACCCGCACAAGCGGUGGAUGAUGUGGAUUAAUUCGAUGCAACGCGAAAAACCUUACCUACCCUUGACAUGUACGGAAGUCACGAGAGAUCGAGAUGUGCUCGAAAGAGAACCGUAACACAGGUGCUGCAUGGCUGUCGUCAGCUCGUGUCGUGAGAUGUUGGGUUAAGUCCCGCAACGAGCGCAACCCUUGUCAUUAGUUGCUACAUUCAGUUGAGCACUCUAAUGAGACUGCCGGUGACAAACCGGAGGAAGGUGGGGAUGACGUCAAGUCCUCAUGGCCCUUAUGGGUAGGGCUUCACACGUCAUACAAUGGUACAUACAGAGGGCCGCCAACCCGCGAGGGGGAGCUAAUCCCAGAAAGUGUAUCGUAGUCCGGAUCGCAGUCUGCAACUCGACUGCGUGAAGUUGGAAUCGCUAGUAAUCGCGGAUCAGCAUGUCGCGGUGAAUACGUUCCCGGGUCUUGUACACACCGCCCGUCACACCAUGGGAGCGGGUUUUACCAGAAGUAGGUAGCUUAACCGCAAGGGGGGCGCU